GGUGGAGACGGGCUCGGAGCCCAACCCGACUGUAAACCGGGCGUCCCCGCGACACCGGUGGUUCGACUCCACCCUCCACCA
RNAcentral lists this transfer RNA (81 nucleotides) under Streptoalloteichus hindustanus. RNAcentral's name for it is "tRNA_Tyr_GTA". It matches the Rfam family "tRNA". From Rfam's summary of the family: Transfer RNA (tRNA) molecules are approximately 80 nucleotides in length. Their secondary structure includes four short double-helical elements and three loops (D, anti-codon, and T loops). Further hydrogen bonds mediate the characteristic L-shaped molecular structure. tRNAs have two regions of fundamental functional importance: the anti-codon, which is responsible for specific mRNA codon recognition, and the 3' end, to which the tRNAs corresponding amino acid is attached (by aminoacyl-tRNA synthetases). tRNAs cope with the degeneracy of the genetic code in two manners: having more than one tRNA (with a specific anti-codon) for a particular amino acid; and 'wobble' base-pairing, i.e. permitting non-standard base-pairing at the 3rd anti-codon position. Lineage: Bacteria; Bacillati; Actinomycetota; Actinomycetes; Pseudonocardiales; Pseudonocardiaceae. The record is from RNAcentral.